RNAcentral lists this ribosomal RNA (512 nucleotides) under Salmonella enterica. RNAcentral describes it as "partial 16S ribosomal RNA". It matches the Rfam family "Bacterial small subunit ribosomal RNA", at positions 1003 to 1515 of the family's 1533-position model. The record is from RNAcentral. Lineage: Bacteria; Pseudomonadati; Pseudomonadota; Gammaproteobacteria; Enterobacterales; Enterobacteriaceae. RNAcentral also lists the same sequence under 3 other names.
GAGAUGGAUUGGUGCCUUCGGGAACUGUGAGACAGGUGCUGCAUGGCUGUCGUCAGCUCGUGUUGUGAAAUGUUGGGUUAAGUCCCGCAACGAGCGCAACCCUUAUCCUUUGUUGCCAGCGGUCCGGCCGGGAACUCAAAGGAGACUGCCAGUGAUAAACUGGAGGAAGGUGGGGAUGACGUCAAGUCAUCAUGGCCCUUACGACCAGGGCUACACACGUGCUACAAUGGCGCAUACAAAGAGAAGCGACCUCGCGAGAGCAAGCGGACCUCAUAAAGUGCGUCGUAGUCCGGAUUGGAGUCUGCAACUCGACUCCAUGAAGUCGGAAUCGCUAGUAAUCGUGGAUCAGAAUGCCACGGUGAAUACGUUCCCGGGCCUUGUACACACCGCCCGUCACACCAUGGGAGUGGGUUGCAAAAGAAGUAGGUAGCUUAACCUUCGGGAGGGCGCUUACCACUUUGUGAUUCAUGACUGGGGUGAAGUCGUAACAAGGUAACCGUAGGGGAACCUGC